AAAUUGAAGAGUUUGAUCAUGGCUCAGAUUGAACGCUGGCGGCAGGCCUAACACAUGCAAGUCGAGCGGAAACGACAUUAUUGAUUCUUCGGAGGAUUUAAUGGGCGUCGAGCGGCGGACGGGUGAGUAAUGCCUAGGAAAUUGCCUUGAUGUGGGGGAUAACCAUUGGAAACGAUGGCUAAUACCGCAUAAUGCCUACGGGCCAAAGAGGGGGAUCUUCGGACCUCUCGCGUCAAGAUAUGCCUAGGUGGGAUUAGCUAGUUGGUGAGGUAAUGGCUCACCAAGGCGACGAUCCCUAGCUGGUCUGAGAGGAUGAUCAGCCACACUGGAACUGAGACACGGUCCAGACUCCUACGGGAGGCAGCAGUGGGGAAUAUUGCACAAUGGGCGAAAGCCUGA
Molecule: ribosomal RNA, 399 nt
Filed under: Vibrio tasmaniensis
Lineage: Bacteria; Pseudomonadati; Pseudomonadota; Gammaproteobacteria; Vibrionales; Vibrionaceae
Description: bacterial SSU rRNA
Rfam family: Bacterial small subunit ribosomal RNA
Source: RNAcentral